Molecule: RNA transcript, 1859 nt
Organism: Propithecus coquereli (Coquerel's sifaka)
Lineage: Eukaryota; Metazoa; Chordata; Mammalia; Primates; Indriidae
Gene name: bifunctional purine biosynthesis protein PURH pseudogene
Exons: 1
Source: RefSeq, a predicted model, not a curated record
GCCACCUCCCUCCACACGUGGGGUCAUCACUGCUGCCAGCCGCUUGUCCCUGGACCGGGCUCCUGCGGCCUUGGCUCCCGACCAGCUCACCCUAUUUAGUGUCUCUGACAAAAUCGGGCCUUGUGGAAUUUUCAAGAAAACUAACUUCUCUUGGUUCGAAUCUAAUCACUUCCAGAGGGACUGCAAAAGCUCUCAGGGAUGCUGGGCUAGCCAUCAGAGAUGUCUCUGAGCCGAGGGAAUUUCCUGAAAUGUUGGGGGGAUGUAUGAAAUCUUUGCAUCCUGCAGUUCAUGCAGGAAUCCUAGAUCCUAACAUUCCAGAAGAUAAUGCUGCCAUGGCCAGACUUGAUUUCAAUCUUAUAAGAGUUGUGCUUGUAAUCUGCGUCCCUUUGUGAAGCAGUGGCUUCUCCAAAUGUAACUGUCAAGGAAGCUGUUGAGCAAAUUGAUAUUGGCGGAGUAACCUUAGUGAGAGCCGCAGCCAAAAACCAUGUUCGAGCGACAGUGGUAUGUGAACCAGAGGACUAUGCAGCAGUGUCCACAGAUGCUGAGCUCCGAGAGUAAAGAUGCCUCCUGGGAGACUAGACACCAGUUAGCCUUGAAGGUAUUCACUCAUAUGGCACAAUAUGAUGAAGCAAUUCCGGAUUACUUCAGGAAACAGUACAGCAAAGGGAUAUCUCAGAUGCCCUUGUGGUAUGAAAUGAACCCUCAUCAGACUCGUGUUCGGCUGUACACAAUGAAGCCCAAGCUUCCCAUCACAGUUCUAAAUGGAGCUCCUAGAUUUCUAAACUUGUAUGAUGCUUUGAAUGCCUGGCAGCUGGUGAAGGAACUCAAAAGAGACAUUAUAGGCACUCCAGCUGCUGCCUGUUUCAAACAUGUCAGCCCCGCAGGUGCUGCUCAGCGAAGAUGAGGUCAAGGUCUACAAGGUCUCUGAUCUCCAUAAAACCCUUACUCCCAUAUCAACGGCAUAUGCAAGAGCAAGAGGGGCUGAUAAGACGUCUUCAUUUGGUGAUUUUGUUGCAUUAUCUGAUGUUUGUGAUGUACCGACUCUGAAAAUUAUAUCCAGAGAAGUAUGGUAUUAUUGCCCUGGGAUAUGAAGAAGCCUUGAAAAUACUUUCUAGAAAGAAAAAUGGAAACUACUGUGUUCUCCAGUUUUAUAAACCAGAUGAAAAUGAAAUUCAAAAACUCUUCAGUCUUUGUUUAGGCCAGAAGAGAAAUAAUGGUAUCAUCAACAGGUCGUUAUUUAGCAAUGUCGUUACCAAGAAUAAAGAUUUGCCGCAGUCUGCCCUCAGGGACCUCAUCGCGGCCACCAUUGCUGUCCAGUACACUCAGUCAAACUCUGAGUGCUACUCUAAGAACGGGCAGAUUAUUAGCAUUGGAGCAGGACAACAGUCUCAGAUACACUGCACAUGCCUUGCAGGGGAUAAGGCAAGCUCUUGGUGGCUUAGACACCAUCCACAAGAGCUUGCAAUGAAGUUUCAAACAGGAGCAAAGAGAGCAGAAAUCUCCAAUGCCAUCGACCAAUAUAUGAUUGCAACAAUCAGCAAGUAUGAAGAUUUGAUAACGUGGAAGGCACUGUUUGAGGAGGUCCCUGAAUUAUGAACUGAGGCAGAGAAGAAGGAGUGGGUUGGCAAACUAAGUGAAGUUUCUGUCAGCUCUGAUGCAUCUUUCAUUUCAGUGAUAGUGUAGAUAGAGCUUAAAGGAGUGGUGUGGCAUACACUGCUGCUAGCUCUGGAUCUGCUGCUGACAAAGGUGUGACCGAGGUUCGUGAUGAACCGGGAAUAAUCCUAGCUCACAUGAAUCUUCACUCUCCCACCACCGAUUUUUAUCACACGUUAUUUUAUGGUCUGCAGAUGUGCAGGUGA